This 55-nucleotide small RNA is filed under the name Caenorhabditis elegans. RNAcentral's name for it is "Unclassified non-coding RNA F14D12.9". Lineage: Eukaryota; Metazoa; Nematoda; Chromadorea; Rhabditida; Rhabditidae. The record is from RNAcentral.
AAAAAAAGAGUCCCGCGACAAAAACCGACUAAGUUGAAAAACAUACAAAUAACCG